Molecule: non-coding RNA, 763 nt
Organism: Zootermopsis nevadensis
Lineage: Eukaryota; Metazoa; Arthropoda; Insecta; Blattodea; Termopsidae
Source: RefSeq, a predicted model, not a curated record
UCGGACUCAAUAAGUCAUGGCUGUUACUGUUCACAGUGAGGAAUGGUUUUAAGCACGUACGUAAUCAGUAAAUAAUUUUCUUUGUGCUGUUGGGUUUUCUAGAGAAUUCUUUAGCGUCAUUUAAGCAUGACGUUUUGCGCCAGUCUGUGUGUAGUGAAGCAACGAUGACGCUCCUCGGCAGGAUGCAUAUUUCCUUUGGAACGACCUUGCCUGAAUGAUUAGUCAGUAUCCGAAGUUAAGAGUUGAACGGUGGAGCCAAUAUUCAGUGAGUGGCCGGCCGGCCACUCACCACGGAGACUCGCUUUCAGUCUCAAGGCCAUUCACCUGGGGUUUGUGGUGGAAGAACUGGGACAAGUUCAUUUCCCUUCAAAGAGGUGUUUCAGAUUUACUUCCUGUCUCCAUCAUCAGGGUGAUGAUCAAGAAAUUCCUCUACAUUCAGUAAAGCCAUCAUCGAUAAAUUGGACCUGACCUGCUGGAAUAGAAUGCAAGGAAGCCGGACAAGGACUCAACGGUGUCAUGGAUACUUGAGGCAUUCCUCGCUACACUGGGCAUCAUCAGCACGGGUCGGCAGGUACGAAUGUGACCACUAGAACUCGCCGCGUGGCCCGACCUUGCGGACGAGGACUGUUACGAAUUCAAAACAACGACAGACGAAGAAAGGAGCGGAAUGAAAGAGGUUAUUUCUGCACCGAAAACUUCGCUACAUGACGACCCCAACCGAAUGCCCAUCUUAAACGGUAGGUGCUGGGAUCGGUGAACAGUU